AGAGUUUGAUCAUGGCUCAGAUUGAACGCUGGCGGCAGGCCUAACACAUGCAAGUCGAACGGUAACAGGAAGCAGCUUGCUGCUUCGCUGACGAGUGGCGGACGGGUGAGUAAUGUCUGGGAAGCUGCCUGAUGGAGGGGGAUAACUACUGGAAACGGUGGCUAAUACCGCAUAACGUCGCAAGACCAAAGAGGGGGACCUUCGGGCCUCUUGCCAUCAGAUGUGCCCAGAUGGGAUUAGCUAGUUGGUGAGGUAACGGCUCACCAAGGCGACGAUCCCUAGCUGGUCUGAGAGGAUGACCAGCCACACUGGAACUGAGACACGGUCCAGACUCCUACGGGAGGCAGCAGUGGGGAAUAUUGCACAAUGGGCGCAAGCCUGAUGCAGCCAUGCCGCGUGUAUGAAGAAGGCCUUAGGGUUGUAAAGUACUUUCAGCGGGGAGGAAGGUGUUGUGGUUAAUAACCGCAGCAAUUGACGUUACCCGCAGAAGAAGCACCGGCUAACUCCGUGCCAGCAGCCGCGGUAAUACGGAGGGUGCAAGCGUUAAUCGGAAUUACUGGGCGUAAAGCGCACGCAGGCGGUCUGUCAAGUCGGAUGUGAAAUCCCCGGGCUCAACCUGGGAACUGCAUUCGAAACUGGCAGGCUUGAGUCUUGUAGAGGGGGGUAGAAUUCCAGGUGUAGCGGUGAAAUGCGUAGAGAUCUGGAGGAAUACCGGUGGCGAAGGCGGCCCCCUGGACAAAGACUGACGCUCAGGUGCGAAAGCGUGGGGAGCAAACAGGAUUAGAUACCCUGGUAGUCCACGCCGUAAACGAUGUCUACUUGGAGGUUGUGCCCUUGAGGCGUGGCUUCCGGAGCUAACGCGUUAAGUAGACCGCCUGGGGAGUACGGCCGCAAGGUUAAAACUCAAAUGAAUUGACGGGGGCCCGCACAAGCGGUGGAGCAUGUGGUUUAAUUCGAUGCAACGCGAAGAACCUUACCUGGUCUUGACAUCCACAGAAGAAUCCAGAGAUGGAUUGGUGCCUUCGGGAACUGUGAGACAGGUGCUGCAUGGCUGUCGUCAGCUCGUGUUGUGAAAUGUUGGGUUAAGUCCCGCAACGAGCGCAACCCUUAUCCUUUGUUGCCAGCGGUCCGGCCGGGAACUCAAAGGAGACUGCCAGUGAUAAACUGGAGGAAGGUGGGGAUGACGUCAAGUCAUCAUGGCCCUUACGACCAGGGCUACACACGUGCUACAAUGGCGCAUACAAAGAGAAGCGACCUCGCGAGAGCAAGCGGACCUCAUAAAGUGCGUCGUAGUCCGGAUUGGAGUCUGCAACUCGACUCCAUGAAGUCGGAAUCGCUAGUAAUCGUGGAUCAGAAUGCCACGGUGAAUACGUUCCCGGGCCUUGUACACACCGCCCGUCACACCAUGGGAGUGGGUUGCAAAAGAAGUAGGUAGCUUAACCUUCGGGAGGGCGCUUACCACUUUGUGAUUCAUGACUGGGGUGAAGUCGUAACAAGGUAACCGUAGGGGAACCUGCGGUUGGAUCACCU
RNAcentral lists this ribosomal RNA (1530 nucleotides) under Salmonella enterica subsp. enterica serovar Thompson. Its description in RNAcentral is "bacterial SSU rRNA". It matches the Rfam family "Bacterial small subunit ribosomal RNA". Lineage: Bacteria; Pseudomonadati; Pseudomonadota; Gammaproteobacteria; Enterobacterales; Enterobacteriaceae. The record is from RNAcentral.